AGCGAACGCUGGCGGCAGGCUUAACACAUGCAAGUCGAGCGGGCAUCCUUGUGGUGUCAGCGGCAGACGGGUGAGUGACGCGUGGGAACGUGCCCUUCGGUUCGGAAUAACUCAGGGAAACUUGAGCUAAUACCGGAUACGUGCGAGAGCAGAAAGGUUUAUCUGCCGAAGGAUCGGCCCGCGUCUGAUUAGCUAGUUGGUGAGGUUACGGCUCACCAAGGCGACGAUCAGUAGCUGGUCUGAGAGGAUGAUCAGCCACACUGGGACUGAGACACGGCCCAGACUCCUACGGGAGGCAGCAGUGGGGAAUAUUGGACAAUGGGGGCAACCCUGAUCCAGCCAUGCCGCGUGAGUGAUGACGGCCUUAGGGUUGUAAAGCUCUUUUCUCCGGGACGAUAAUGACGGUACCGGAGGAAUAAGCCCCGGCUAACUUCGUG
Molecule: ribosomal RNA, 437 nt
Filed under: uncultured bacterium
Lineage: Bacteria
Description: partial 16S ribosomal RNA
Rfam family: Bacterial small subunit ribosomal RNA
Source: RNAcentral